This 96-nucleotide small nuclear RNA is filed under the name Suricata suricatta (meerkat). Lineage: Eukaryota; Metazoa; Chordata; Mammalia; Carnivora; Herpestidae. The record is from RNAcentral.
GUGCUCACUUUAUCAGCACAUAUACAAUUAGAACAAUGCAGAGAUUAGCCUGGCCCCUGUGCAAGGAUGAUAUUCAAAUAAACACUCUGUAGUUUU